CUGACAAGGUCAAAGGCAAAGAGAAGGGCGCGGCCCAGGUGUCGGAAAGUCAGAUUUGCAGUCCUGAGAGAGAGAGAAUUAUAUAUUUAGAAAAGGAGAAUAGCAGCCUCAGGGCGGCGGUCGAUAGGCUUACGCUAGAGCUAGCAGAACUCCGCAGCGAAAUCACUCGUCACAAGUCCGCUUCGCCUGACGGUUCGUCGGUUAAUGAGGUUCCGAACUCUAUGGAGGUGGUAACGCCAGAAGGAGGGGCCCACGACUGUCCGGCUCCCAAAAAGAGGGCCCUCGAUCAGUCGAACCAGUUACAAAUCAAGGCAAAGUCUGAGAUUAAGGAGGCUCUCU
Dermacentor silvarum is the source of this 339-nucleotide long non-coding RNA. RefSeq lists it as uncharacterized. The transcript is spliced from 2 exons. The record is from RefSeq and is a predicted model, not a curated record. Lineage: Eukaryota; Metazoa; Arthropoda; Arachnida; Ixodida; Ixodidae.